RNAcentral lists this ribosomal RNA (263 nucleotides) under uncultured Streptococcaceae bacterium. RNAcentral describes it as "partial 16S ribosomal RNA". It matches the Rfam family "Bacterial small subunit ribosomal RNA", at positions 521 to 784 of the family's 1533-position model. Lineage: Bacteria; Bacillati; Bacillota; Bacilli; Lactobacillales; Streptococcaceae. The record is from RNAcentral.
UAAUACGUAGGUCCCGAGCGUUGUCCGGAUUUAUUGGGCGUAAAGCGAGCGCAGGCGGUUAGAUAAGUCUGAAGUUAAAGGCUGUGGCUUAACCAUAGUACGCUUUGGAAACUGUUUAACUUGAGUGCAAGAGGGGAGAGUGGAAUUCCAUGUGUAGCGGUGAAAUGCGUAGAUAUAUGGAGGAACACCGGUGGCGAAAGCGGCUCUCUGGCUUGUAACUGACGCUGAGGCUCGAAAGCGUGGGGAGCAAACAGGAUUAGAUA